AUAUUAGUUUGCUUGAUGAGACCCAUCGAUGAAAGCCUGGUGGAUAUAGUUGUGGAACUUAGGUAUGGAAUCUAGAAUGUUGUGUAAGUUU
This 91-nucleotide small RNA is filed under the name Arabidopsis thaliana (thale cress). RNAcentral describes it as "ATSL041550". The record is from RNAcentral. Lineage: Eukaryota; Viridiplantae; Streptophyta; Magnoliopsida; Brassicales; Brassicaceae.